RNAcentral lists this long non-coding RNA (1241 nucleotides) under Setaria viridis. Its description in RNAcentral is "long non-coding RNA (SVIR_LNC000180)". The record is from RNAcentral. Lineage: Eukaryota; Viridiplantae; Streptophyta; Magnoliopsida; Poales; Poaceae.
UUCCGGAACCCACGAACACCUUGCGUUGCGACCCGACACGACUCGAACAACCGAUCCUCCUCACGAGGCCUUGCGUGCGAGGCGACCCGAUUCGUUUCCCGUGAAGACAGAGAAGCAUCGGCGGAGCAAGCCAGGGGAGGGAGAUGGACGCCUUCUACUCGUCCUCGUCGGCGGCAUACGGCGCGGCGCCCGGCGGCGGAUGGGGCUACGACUCGCUCAAGAACUUCCGCCAGAUCACCCCCGCCGUCCAGACCCACCUCAAGCUCGUACGUCUCCCGGGGCCAUUGCCCUCCCUCCCUCUCCCUCUCUUCCGACCCUCUGAUUUUCUUUCCUCCCGGAUUUUUUGUCCUUUGUCCGUGGGCUGCGUGCUGGGAUGGUGCCACCGGGUGAUCCCUAGGGCUUCGCGGGGUGGAAUGCGGCAACGGAUUCGGGAGUCCGUGUGGUUUUGGGGUGUUGAUCUGACGGUUUGGCGGUUGUUUUGGGGAAAUUUGGGGGGAUUUGGUUCUGAUGGGGCUCGAUUCUUCGUGGGUGUCUAGUCCGCUUGCUCUUCCGUUCCAGGCUGGCUUGGCGCCCCCUGGUUUGAUUUCCGCGCCCGAUGGUUUAGACGGUCCAGUCUACGCCUCCCGGUUCGAUUUGUCCAGAUGGAUGAAUUUGUCGGAAUGUGAAUGCGAUGAGCGCCGCAGUUAAACGUUUCAGAUCGAAUUGUUGGACUGGAAUGUGUGCGAUUCACGCAAUCGGCCUUCAUUUUCCGUUGUUGGUUUCGUGGGGAUCCCUAAUGGAACUCAUUUGUGAACCUUUUUUUUUAAUCGGAACUUGCAGUUUGCGUCUUGUUAUUCUUCUUCGCAUAAGCUAUUGACAAUUUGGGAUGCGCACUGAUUCAUGCGUUUACUCGUUGGGUUUAUAACUGCAGAAUAGCACCGCUUGAUCUGUCAUUAAUUAAGAAAAUAUAUAAUUCGAUUAGUUGCAUUUCGGUUACUUGUUUAUGCGCCUUCAUGUUUCGUGCGAUUGUGUGAUGUCAGACAGACUGUUCUAACUUCUAACGGUGGUUAGCUGCUCGAGUAUCUUAAUUCUGAAUUUCUGACGGUGGCUGGUUGGUUGCCUGCAGGUUUACCUCACCCUAUGCGUGGCGCUGGCCUCGUCGGCGGUGGGCGCUUACCUGCACGUCGUCUGGAACAUUGGCGGGAUGCUGACCAUGCUCGGCUGCGUUGGCAGCAUCGCCUGGCUCUUCUCGGUGCCCGUCU